CGAACGGAACUUCUUUGACAGAAUUCUUCGGAAGGAAGUUGAUUAAGUUUAGUGGCGGACGGGUGAGUAACGCGUGAGUAACCUGCCUUUGAGAGGGGAAUAACUUCCCGAAAGGGAUGCUAAUACCGCAUGAUGCAUAUUUAUCGCAUGGUAGAUGUGCCAAAGAUUUAUCGCUCAAAGAUGGACUCGCGUCCGAUUAGCCAGUUGGCGGGGUAACGGCCCACCAAAGCGACGAUCGGUAGCCGGACUGAGAGGUUGAACGGCCACAUUGGGACUGAGACACGGCCCAGACUCCUACGGGAGGCAGCAGUGGGGGAUAUUGCGCAAUGGGGGAAACCCUGACGCAGCAACGCCGCGUGAAGGAUGAAGGUUUUCGGAUUGUAAACUUCUUUUAUUUAGGACGAACAAUGACGGUACUAAAUGAAUAAGCUCCGGCUGACUACGUGCCAGCAGCCGCGGUAAUACGUAGGGAGCAAGCGUUAUCCGGAUUUACUGGGUGUAAAGGGUGCGUAGGCGGCUUGGUAAGUCAGAUGUGAAAUGUAUGGGCUCAACCCAUGCACUGCAUUUGAAACUAUUGAGCUUGAGUGAAGUAGGGGUAGGCGGAAUUCCCUGUGUAGCGGUGAAAUGCGUAGAGAUAGGGAGGAACACCAGUGGCGAAGGCGGCCUACUGGGCUUUAACUGACGCUGAGGCACGAAGGCGUGGGUAGCAAACAGGAUUAGAUACCCUGGUAGUCCACGCUGUAAACGAUGAUUACUAGGUGUGGGGGGUCUGACCCCUUCCGUGCCGGAGUUAACA
Molecule: ribosomal RNA, 796 nt
Filed under: uncultured bacterium
Lineage: Bacteria
Description: bacterial SSU rRNA
Rfam family: Bacterial small subunit ribosomal RNA
Source: RNAcentral